GAUGAACGCUGACAGAAUGCUUAACACAUGCAAGUCAACUUGAAUUUGGGUUUUUAACUUAAGUUUGGGUGGCGGACGGGUGAGUAACGCGUAAAGAACUUGCCUCACAGCUAGGGACAACAUUUGGAAACGAAUGCUAAUACCUAAUAUUAUGAUAAUAGGGCAUCCUAUAAUUAUGAAAGCUAUAAGCGCUGUGAGAGAGCUUUGCGUCCCAUUAGCUAGUUGGAGAGGUAACGGCUCACCAAGGCGAUGAUGGGUAGCCGGCCUGAGAGGGUGAUCGGCCACAAGGGGACUGAGACACGGCCCUUACUCCUACGGGAGGCAGCAGUGGGGAAUAUUGGACAAUGGACCAAGAGUCUGAUCCAGCAAUUCUGUGUGCACGAUGAAGUUUUUCGGAAUGUAAAGUGCUUUCAGUUGGGAAGAAAGAAAUGACGGUACCAACAGAAGAAGUGACGGCUAAAUACGUGCCAGCAGCCGCGGUAAUACGUAUGUCACGAGCGUUAUCCGGAUUUAUUGGGCGUAAAGCGCGUCUAGGUGGUUAUGUAAGUCUGAUGUGAAAAUGCAGGGCUCAACUCUGUAUUGCGUUGGAAACUGUAUAACUAGAGUACUGGAGAGGUAAGCGGAACUACAAGUGUAGAGGUGAAAUUCGUAGAUAUUUGUAGGAAUGCCGAUGGGGAAGCCAGUUUACUGUACAGAUACUGACGCUGAAGCGCGAAAGCGUGGGUAGCAUACAUG
RNAcentral lists this ribosomal RNA (735 nucleotides) under uncultured Fusobacterium sp. Its description in RNAcentral is "bacterial SSU rRNA". It matches the Rfam family "Bacterial small subunit ribosomal RNA", at positions 28 to 776 of the family's 1533-position model. The record is from RNAcentral. Lineage: Bacteria; Fusobacteriati; Fusobacteriota; Fusobacteriia; Fusobacteriales; Fusobacteriaceae.